This 445-nucleotide ribosomal RNA is filed under the name uncultured bacterium. RNAcentral's name for it is "SSU rRNA". It matches the Rfam family "Bacterial small subunit ribosomal RNA", at positions 26 to 518 of the family's 1533-position model. The record is from RNAcentral.
AGAGCGAACGCUGGCGGCAGGCCUAACACAUGCAAGUCGAGCGCCCGUAGCAAUACGGGAGCGGCAGACGGGAGAGUAACACGUGGGAACGCGCCCUUCGGUUCGGAAUAACUCAGGGAAACUUGAGCUAAUACCGGAUACGCCCUUACGGGGAAAGAUUUAUUGCCGAAGGAACGGCCCGCGUCCGAUUAGCUAGUUGGUGAGGUAAUGGCUCACCAAGGCUCCGAUCGGUAGCUGGUCUGAGAGGAUGACCAGCAUCACUGGGACUGAGACACGGCCCAGACUCCUACGGGAGGCAGCAGUGGGGAAUAUUGGACAAUGGGCGGAAGCCUGAUCCAGCCAUGCCGCGUGGAUGAUGAAGGCCUUAGGGUUGUAAAGUCCUUUAACGGGGAAGAUAAUGACGGUACCGUAGAAUAAGCCCGGCUAACUUCGCGCCAGCAGCCGC